This 204-nucleotide ribosomal RNA is filed under the name Streptomyces nanshensis. RNAcentral describes it as "partial 16S ribosomal RNA". It matches the Rfam family "Bacterial small subunit ribosomal RNA", at positions 315 to 531 of the family's 1533-position model. Lineage: Bacteria; Bacillati; Actinomycetota; Actinomycetes; Kitasatosporales; Streptomycetaceae. The record is from RNAcentral.
GGGACUGAGACACGGCCCAGACUCCUACGGGAGGCAGCAGUGGGGAAUAUUGCACAAUGGGCGGAAGCCUGAUGCAGCGACGCCGCGUGAGGGAUGACGGCCUUCGGGUUGUAAACCUCUUUCAGCAGGGAAGAAGCUUUUGUGACGGUACCUGCAGAAGAAGCACCGGCUAACUACGUGCCAGCAGCCGCGGUAAUACGUAGG